UUUGUAGAAUGAACCGGCGAGUUACGAUUUGAUGCAAGGUUAAGCAGUAAAUGUGGAGCCGUAGCGAAAGCGAGUCUGAAUAGGGCGUUUAGUAUUUGGUCGUAGACCCGAAACCAGGUGAUCUACCCUUGGUCAGGUUGAAGUUCAGGUAACACUGAAUGGAGGACCGAACCGACUUACGUUGAAAAGUGAGCGGAUGAACUGAGGGUAGCGGAGAAAUUCCAAUCGAACCUGGAGAUAGCUGGUUCUCUCCGAAAUAGCUUUAGGGCUAGCCUCAAGUGAUGAUUAUUGGAGGUAGAGCACUGUUUGGACGAGGGGCCCCUCUCGGGUUACCGAAUUCAGACAAACUCCGAAUGCCAAUUAAUUUAACUUGGGAGUCAGAACAUGGGUGAUAAGGUCCGUGUUCGAAAGGGAAACAGCCCAGACCACCAGCUAAGGUCCCAAAAUAUAUGUUAAGUGGAAAAGGAUGUGGCGUUGCCCAGACAACUAGGAUGUUGGCUUAGAAGCAGCCAUCAUUUAAAGAGUGCGU
Molecule: ribosomal RNA, 529 nt
Filed under: Staphylococcus aureus
Lineage: Bacteria; Bacillati; Bacillota; Bacilli; Caryophanales; Staphylococcaceae
Description: partial 23S ribosomal RNA
Rfam family: Bacterial large subunit ribosomal RNA
Source: RNAcentral